AUACUUACCUGGCAGGGCAGGUACCAUGAUCACGGAGGUGCUUCACCCAGGGUGAGGCCCAGCCAUUGCUGCGGCUGUGCUGACCCCUCCGCUGCAUAAUUUCUGGUAGCGGGGGGGCUGUGUUUCCACUCUCCCCUG
This 138-nucleotide small nuclear RNA is filed under the name Paramormyrops kingsleyae. RNAcentral's name for it is "U1 spliceosomal RNA (ENSPKIG00000005753.1)". It matches the Rfam family "U1 spliceosomal RNA". Rfam says of the family: U1 is a small nuclear RNA (snRNA) component of the spliceosome (involved in pre-mRNA splicing). Its 5' end forms complementary base pairs with the 5' splice junction, thus defining the 5' donor site of an intron. Lineage: Eukaryota; Metazoa; Chordata; Actinopteri; Osteoglossiformes; Mormyridae. The record is from RNAcentral.